This 492-nucleotide ribosomal RNA is filed under the name uncultured bacterium. RNAcentral's name for it is "partial 16S ribosomal RNA". It matches the Rfam family "Bacterial small subunit ribosomal RNA", at positions 28 to 506 of the family's 1533-position model. The record is from RNAcentral.
GACGAACGCUGGCGGCGUGCUUGACACAUGCAAGUCGAACGGAAAGGCCUGCUUUCCCUUGUGGAUUGCGGGUACUCGAGUGGCGAACGGGUGAGUAACACGUGAGUGAUCUGCCCCCAACUUGGGUAUAAGCCUGGGAAACUGGGUCUAAUUCCCGAUAGGACUGCGGGUGGUGCCUGUGGUGGAAAACGAUUUUCUAGUGGUUGGGGAUGAGCUCGCGGCCUAUCAGCUUGUUGGUGGGGUAAUGGCCUACCAAGGCGGCGACGGGUAGCCGGCCUGAGAGGGUGGACGGCCACAUUGGGACUGAGAUACGGCCCAGACUCCUACGGGAGGCAGCAGUGGGGAAUAUUGCACAAUGGGCGGAAGCCUGAUGCAGCGACGGCGCGUGGGGGAUGACGGCCUUCGGGUUGUAAACUCCUUUCGACCGCGAGGAAGCCACCUGGUUGGAAGGGUGGUGACGGUAGUGGUAGAAGAAGCACCGGCUAACUACGU